GACGAACGCUGGCGGCGUGCUUAACACAUGCAAGUCAAACGGAAAGGCCCUGCUUUUGUGGGGUGCUCGAGUGGCGAACGGGUGAGUAACACGUGAGUAACCUGCCCUUGACUUUGGGAUAACUUCAGGAAACUGGGGCUAAUACCGGAUAGGAGCUCCUGCUGCAUGGUGGGGGUUGGAAAGUUUCGGCGGUUGGGGAUGGACUCGCGGCUUAUCAGCUUAUUGGUGGGGUAGUGGCUUACCAAGGCUUUGACGGGUAGCCGGCCUGAGAGGGUGACCGGCCACAUUGGGACUGAGAUACGGCCCAGACUCCUACGGGAGGCAGCAGUGGGGAAUAUUGCACAAUGGGCGGAAGCCUGAUGCAGCAACGCCGCGUGCGGGAUGACGGCCUUCGGGUUGUAAACCGCUUUCGCCUGUGACGAAGCGUGAGUGACGGUAAUGGGUAAAGAAGCACCGGCUAACUACGUG
This 468-nucleotide ribosomal RNA is filed under the name uncultured bacterium. RNAcentral's name for it is "partial 16S ribosomal RNA". It matches the Rfam family "Bacterial small subunit ribosomal RNA", at positions 28 to 507 of the family's 1533-position model. The record is from RNAcentral.